This 492-nucleotide ribosomal RNA is filed under the name uncultured bacterium. RNAcentral describes it as "partial 16S ribosomal RNA". It matches the Rfam family "Bacterial small subunit ribosomal RNA", at positions 29 to 507 of the family's 1533-position model. The record is from RNAcentral.
AGUGAACGCUGGCGGUAGGCCUAACACAUGCAAGUCGAACGGCAGCACAGUAAGAGCUUGCUCUUACGGGUGGCGAGUGGCGGGCGGGUGCGGAGAACAUCGGUAUCUACUUUUCCGAGGGGGAGAACGUAGGGAAAAAUACGGCAAUACCGCAUACGACGAAAGGGGGAAAGCAGGGGACCUUAGGACAUUGCGUGAUUGAAUGAGGCGAGGUCGGAUUAGCUAGUUGGAGGGGUAAAGGCCCACCAAGGCGACGAUCCGUAGCUGGUCUGAGAGGAUGAUCAGCCACACUGGAACUGAGACACGGUCCAGACUCCUACGGGAGGCAGCAGUGGGGAAUAUUGGACAAUGGGCGCAAGCCUGAUCCAGCCAUGCCGCGUGGGUGAAGAAGGCCUUCGGAUUGUAAAGCCCUUUUGUUUGGGAAGAAGAGCAGCAGGUUAAUACCUUGCUGUUCUGACGGUACCCAAAGAAUAAGCACCGGCUAACUUCGUG